CCUACGGGAGGCAGCAGUGAGGAAUAUUGGUCAAUGGGCUUACGCCUGAACCAGCCAAGUCGCGUGAGGGAAGACUGCCCUAUGGGUUGUAAACCUCUUUUGUCAGGGAGCAACGCCGGCUACGUGUAGCCGGACUGAGAGUACCUGAAGAAAAAGCAUCGGCUAACUCCGUGCCAGCAGCCGCGGUAAUACGGAGGAUGCGAGCGUUAUCCGGAUUGAUUGGGUUUAAAGGGUGCGUAGGCGGAAUGCCAAGUCAGCGGUAAAAUCGCGGGGCUCAACCUCGCUCCGCCGUUGAAACUGGCGUUCUUGAGUGGGCGAGAGGUAUGCGGAAUGCGUGGUGUAGCGGUGAAAUGCAUAGAGAUCACGCAGAACUCCGAUUGCGAAGGCAGCAUACCGGCGCCCAACUGACGCUGAAGCACGAAAGCGUGGGUAUCGAACAGGAUUAGAUACCCCUGUAGUC
Molecule: ribosomal RNA, 460 nt
Filed under: uncultured bacterium
Lineage: Bacteria
Description: partial 16S ribosomal RNA
Rfam family: Bacterial small subunit ribosomal RNA
Source: RNAcentral